AGCUCCAAUAGCGUAUAUUAAAGUUGUUGCAGUUAAAAAGCUCGUAGUUGAAUUUCUGGUGGGAGUGUACAGUCCGACACUGAGUGUUGGUUCUUGUAUGUCUCCGGCCAUCCUUGGAGUGAAUCUGUCUGGCAUUCAGUUGUUGGGCAGAGUAUCUCCAUCGUUUACUGUGAGGAAAUGAAAGUGUUCAAAGCAGGCUUAUGCCGUUGAAUCUUUUAGCAUGGAAUAAUAAGAUAGGAUCUUGAUACUAUUUUGUUGGUUUGCGUGUUAAGAUAAUGAUGAAUAGGGACAGUUGGGGGUAUUUGUAUUCCAUAGUCAGAGGUGAAAUUCUUGGAUUUAUGGAAGACAAACUAAUGCGAAAGCAUCUACCAAGGAUGUUUUCAUUA
Molecule: ribosomal RNA, 386 nt
Filed under: Eucampia sp.
Lineage: Eukaryota; Bacillariophyta; Thalassiosirophyceae; Eucampiales; Eucampiaceae
Also listed under: 1 other name
Description: SSU rRNA
Rfam family: Eukaryotic small subunit ribosomal RNA
Source: RNAcentral